AGCAGUAGCCACGGGAAUACGUAGGUGGCAAGCGUUGUCCGGAAUUAUUGGGCGUAAAGCGCGCGCAGGCGGAUCAGUUAGUCUGUCUUAAAAGUUCGGGGCUUAACCCCGUGAUGGGAUGGAAACUGCUGAUCUAGAGUAUCGGAGAGGAAAGUGGAAUUCCUAGUGUAGCGGUGAAAUGCGUAGAUAUUAGGAAGAACACCAGUGGCGAAGGCGACUUUCUGGACGAAAACUGACGCUGAGGCGCGAAAGCCAGGGGAGCGAACGGGAUUAGAUACCCCGGUAGUCCCUGUCUCUUAUACC
RNAcentral lists this ribosomal RNA (303 nucleotides) under uncultured bacterium. Its description in RNAcentral is "partial 16S ribosomal RNA". It matches the Rfam family "Bacterial small subunit ribosomal RNA", at positions 507 to 808 of the family's 1533-position model. The record is from RNAcentral.